This 460-nucleotide ribosomal RNA is filed under the name uncultured bacterium. Its description in RNAcentral is "partial 16S ribosomal RNA". It matches the Rfam family "Bacterial small subunit ribosomal RNA", at positions 338 to 795 of the family's 1533-position model. The record is from RNAcentral.
CCUACGGGUGGCUGCAGUGAGGAAUAUUGGUCAAUGGGCGCGAGCCUGAACCAGCCAAGUAGCGUGAAGGAUGACUGCCCUACGGGUUGUAAACUUCUUUUAUAAAGGAAUAAAGUGAGGCACGUGUGACUUUUUGUAUGUACUUUAUGAAUAAGGAUCGGCUAACGCCGGGAAAGCAGCCGCGGUAAUACGGAGGAUCCGAGCGCUAUCCGGAUUUAGUGGGUUUAAAGGGAGCGUAGAUGGGUUGUUAAGUAAGUUGUGAAAGUUUGCGGCUCAACCGUAAAAUUGCAAUUGAUACUGGCAGCCUUGAGUACAGUUGAGGUAGGCGGAAUUCGUGGUGUAGCGGUGAAAUGCUUAGAUAUCACGAAGAACUCCGAUUGCGAAGGCAGCCUACUAAACUGCCACUGACAUUGAUGCUCGAAAGUGUGGGUAUCAAACAGGAUUAGAUACCCUUGUAGUC